GGGGUUCAUAUUAGUGUUCUAGGAAGGGUUUAAAAGCACCUAGAACACCCGCUAAUGCGGUUAUCCAACAAUUAACUAUUUGGCUAAAGUAGAUUAACUUGAGCAUACUUGACUAAGUUACAAAAAUAAAGAGUUUGAAACUUGAAGUCAUUUUUUAAGGGAGAGGAAAGUACUAUAAGAGCAUUUGCUUAAGUGAAAUAUAAUAAAUAUUAAGGUCAAUUAAAAAAUGAGUUGGUUUUAAUUUCAAUUCAAAACGGCUUUCUUUUGGGGAGUUGAAUUUUUAGAAUCUUAAGAUUAAUUUUAACAAAUAAAACAUAUAGUAGCAAUUGAAUGGAUAAGGAAAGGAAGUUUGGGCCCAAGUUUGGUUUUUUAUGUCCGCCUGGACCAAUACUUGGGCCCAUUUUCGUUUUGGACUUUUGGUCCAUUUGAGUCAUUUAUACCUGCCCUAUUCUAACGUAAUAGAAAUAUUUUCUAUUUGGGCCUUAGGCUCAAUUCUUCCGCCUGUCCUAAACUAACACGAUAAUAGCAAUUAAAAUGACAAGGGCUUAGGCCCAAAAUAACAAAAUACAAUCUUUUAUAAAGAUUAGGCCUUUGGCCCAAUCUUUUCAAAUUUUCUCAAUCGGUUGCUUCUUUCAACUUCGGGACCUGUUCGUCGACUUUAGCGAUUGACUGACUCAAUGGGGGUGGCAUUUGAGCCUUUAUGGCUCUCUCGAUAUGCAAGGGAAAAAUAUGGGAGUUCAUGGUGAACUCGGGCCGAUUUCACAUGCAAACGAUAAACAAAUAAAAUUAGCAUUCACGCUUAAACUUGUUCACAAAAAUAACAUCUCUAGUAAAAAGCAAAUAAAUAAAGUAAUAAAUAAAAAGGUAUGAGUUUGAUUCCUAACGAGGUAAACUAGGAAAUUCACAACAAAAUAAGGCUACUACCAAUGUAUACUUGACAGAUUUCAAGGGGACGCAAAUUAAGAAGAGAAGAAGUCUAAUUUUGACAGUAAGAAAGCACGUUUGAGUUGACCAAAGAAAACAUACCACUGCUUAUCAUAAAAAAAAAAACAAUAAAAAUGCCUCACACAUGUUCAUUCUAGAAGGUAAUAGCACAUUAAUAUUAAUAAUCAAUAAAAUGGGGCAUAUUAGAUGAUGCACUAUAAUCUAGCAUGGCUUGAAUAUGAUGAAAAUAUAUUAAAUGUUCAAACUAAUAUAGCAAUGAUAAUCAGGCCGCGGGAGAGGCAACCUUAAUAAUGAUCAUUGAGGCAAGACAAGCUAUUUGUUAUUACCAUUAUUCAUAUACUUAGCCAUCUAUAGCUGGACAGUAAACAAUUUAGACAAGAGCCAGAUUCAAAUAGAAGGGACAAUGAAUUUUAACAACAUGAUCCUACACCACGGUUCAAGAAAUCUCAAUUUUUGCACCUUGCUGGGAUGUGACCGAGCAUAAAUUAGCUCAUUUGCUUCAAAAGGGGGAGCUAAGGGAUCGACAUCAAGAGAAGUUUGCUACCAAAAUAAAUCAUGCAUCAAAUAAUCUUAGAGGCCAAGCUCCAACAAACUAAGCUCCGAAAAAUAAAAUAAGAAACUCAAACUUUAUACCAUUUUUUACUUACAAACAGUGAACCAUUUCGAACUGGAUUAGAGGGCAAAGAGAUUCGAAAGACAAUAGGCAAACUAGAGUAAUUUCUACUGAACUUUGUAUCAUGGCUUAAGCAAAUACGAUGAACAAAGUACCAAAACCAAAGACCAUAAACAAUUUGAUAAUCAUUUUUACACUCAACCUAGAUCGAAAUAAGAGAAAUACGACGGAAAGAAAUCAAGCCGCGAAGAGCUCGCGACCAAACAAGAAUGAGAUCCGACAUGCUAGCAAAUAGUAGUAAACUGCUCCAAAACAAGAUGCAUACACAAAUGAUCUCAAAUAGGAAGAAAAAGACAGUACUAGCCAAUACUCAUUUACCAAAUCCUAACCUGUAGUGGCCGAAACAAAGCCAUCACAUAUUUAUAAGCUACGAAAAGAGGGGGAAGUCUUGGUAGAUUUAGUAAGAUACAUCAACCUAUCCCUUUUCAAAAUAGCAUGAAAUUAAAGCAACAAUGGCAUGUAAUACUUAAAUUGAUUUGUAUCCUAGAUGCUAUACAUUAUACCAUGAGGAAAAGGGAAAGAGACAGUAACUAGGGAUAGGAUCUUAAAUUUAUCCAUUUUUAAACAAUACAUGACCAUGUCUUUCAUAAAGAAACAGAUCAUAGGAAACAACAAAUCAUCGAAUCCAAUCACAAAGUGAAUUAAAACUACUUAAUAUACAUUUGAAUUUAGUCGAAAUGACAAAACGAAUUUAAGAGGAAGAGGGGUUACCUUCUUCGGAGCAGCGUUCCGGAACAACGAGCUUGAACUACGAAGCUUCCACCACCACGUGAAAGGAACUCCAAUGGAAGUUUCCGGCGAAAAAGAACGGAGAGCUUAAGCCGAGACCUCAAAACUCGAAACUAUUGAAUUAUAACUAUAGAAGUUGGAAUUCUUCUUAUGACUCUGUACCAACAGUAUUCUUUUUUGUCUCCUCUUUCUCCAACCUAAAUUUUCCAACUCAAAUCCUCUCUCCUUCUGGCAGCAAAGACAACAUAAUAUAUAUAGAAGAAGAACUAGGGCAGAUUUGGGGGAAGAGGGACGAAAAUUUGGGCUCAGGCCCAAUAAUUCAAACUUCAAAUUUCUUUCACCAUUAAAGGCAAACAUAUUUUUCCCACGAUUUUCGCCCCAUUUCGAAAGAGGAAAGGGACAGACGCGUGCUG
This 2760-nucleotide long non-coding RNA is filed under the name Solanum tuberosum (potato). Its description in RNAcentral is "long non-coding RNA (STUB_LNC000479)". The record is from RNAcentral. Lineage: Eukaryota; Viridiplantae; Streptophyta; Magnoliopsida; Solanales; Solanaceae.